This 109-nucleotide ribosomal RNA is filed under the name Gopherus agassizii (Agassiz's desert tortoise). Lineage: Eukaryota; Metazoa; Chordata; Testudines; Testudinidae. The record is from RNAcentral.
UUCUGCAGACAUAUUGCCUCAGCUGUGAUCCUGUCGGAUCAACCAAGCUAAGCAGGGUCAAGUCAGUACUUGGAUGGGAGGCCUUCAAUGAAUAUUCAGGGUGCAGGUG